CCUACGGGAGGCAGCAGUGAGGAAUAUUGGUCAAUGGACGCAAGUCUGAACCAGCCAUGCCGCGUGCAGGAAGACGGCCCUAUGAGUUGUAAACUGCUUUUGUACGAGGGUAAACGCAGAUACGCGUAUCUGUCUGAAAGUAUCGUACGAAUAAGGAUCGGCUAACUCCGUGCCAGCAGCCGCGGUAAUACGGAGGAUUCAAGCGUUAUCCGGAUUUAUUGGGUUUAAAGGGUGCGUAGGCGGUCGGAUAAGUUAGAGGUGAAAUCCCGAGGCUCAACUGCGGAAUUGCCUCUGAUACUGGCAGGCUAGAGAGUAGUAGCGGUAGGCGGAAUGUAUGGUGUAGCGGUGAAAUGCUUAGAGAUCAUACAGAACACCGAUUGCGAAGGCAGCUUACCAGGCUACUACUGACGCUGAGGCACGAAAGCGUGGGGAGCAAACAGGAUUAGAUACCCCAGUAGUC
RNAcentral lists this ribosomal RNA (460 nucleotides) under uncultured bacterium. RNAcentral describes it as "partial 16S ribosomal RNA". It matches the Rfam family "Bacterial small subunit ribosomal RNA", at positions 338 to 795 of the family's 1533-position model. The record is from RNAcentral.